UACAAAUCAAAUAUGUACCUAGGCUACUGCCCGACGCCUCCAUUCUCUCUCUCUCUCUCAUUAUCUCUGAGAAUCCAGCCGGUCCUCCUCCCGUCCCCUCCCCCACAGCCGGCGGCCCUCCCGAUCUGGAGGCCUCCGGCCAGAUUAGCUCCUCCAUACCAUGGCGUGCCUCGCGGUGUCCCGGCUCGCUCGCCGUCACCCAGCUCGCUGCGGAUCUGGGAAGUCCGCACUCACCAAGCCUCCCGACGUCUCCUGGCACCAGAUCCGGCGACGAACAGGCUGUCUUGUGCCUCCUCCUCAAGCUCGCGAGCUGGGAUUGCCUCUUCUUGCUUGCCAAUGGAUUUGUAGUUCAAGAUUUGUACAAGAACUUUUUGGAUGUCCGGAUCGUCCUUUGCUGAAAAUUGAUGAAGGACUUUAUCUUUUUACAAAGAACUCUGUUUCUACAAAGCGGUCUCUUUGUAUAAAUUGCUGAAGAACUUUAUUGUUGUAUGUAAAAGAGAAUGCUUUUUCUUGCCAUAUUGAUAUUAAUAGAACUUUAUGUUUAACUAGCUGGUAGUUUGUAUGAAUCCUUGAAUAACUUUGUGUACAUGUGAAUUUGAAGGUUAUGAAAAUAGUACAAAACUUUAUGAAGGC
RNAcentral lists this ribosomal RNA (633 nucleotides) under Triticum aestivum (bread wheat). RNAcentral's name for it is "partial small subunit ribosomal RNA". Lineage: Eukaryota; Viridiplantae; Streptophyta; Magnoliopsida; Poales; Poaceae. The record is from RNAcentral.